Molecule: long non-coding RNA, 1672 nt
Organism: Panicum virgatum (switchgrass)
Lineage: Eukaryota; Viridiplantae; Streptophyta; Magnoliopsida; Poales; Poaceae
Exons: 3
Source: RefSeq, a predicted model, not a curated record
UUUAUUUUUCGUUUAGCUCCCUAUCCCGCUCUUGCAGACUCCAUUCCCCUGUCCUCGUCGCCGCCGGCCGAGGGUCCAGGCCGCCUCCUUUUUUCGUCGCCGCCGGAAGAUGGCCGGCUCCUCUCGUCGUCGCUGCCGGAAGAGGGAUCCUGGAUCGAAGCCAUCGCCGCCGCCGGUAGAGGGCCGCCUCCUCUCGUCGUCGCCGCCGGAAGAGGGAUCCUGGAUCGAGGCCUUCGCCGCCGCCGGAAGAGGGCCGCCUCCUCUCGUCCUCGCUGCCGGAAGAGGGAUCCUGGAUCGAGGCCGUCGCCCCCCUCCCCCUCGUGCCUUCCCUUCCAGGCCGCCGGCCGAGGGCCCUGUGCUCAUCGCAGGAGGGACGGCCAUUCCCAGGCGCGUUGCCGUGGUCGGCCGGCGGACCUGCGCGUGGUGGUGCGCUGGGGGCCAGGACCAGCGCAGUUUCCGUUUUGACACCGGCUUUCCGGCGAGAUCUUGACAGGCGGGAAUUGAACUUCUGAAUCUCUUGUCUCUCUGUCCCUCCAUUUUUUGAACGGGCUCUGAUCCAUUGAAGCAUGCGAGGGCGCAAUUUUUUGCUUACGAAACCCAGUCAUAAUUUUUCUUUCUUUUUCAUCUGAUGACUCACAGGUGAUUACUUAUUGACAGGAAGCUACAUGAAAGUUAUUACUGCUAUUGUGCUCAAAUUAGUUAUAACAUAUCGAGUAUAAUUUGAACAGCAAUAAACUAGUGUAAUAUGUAGCACUUUUUUUAAGCAACAUAAGCAUUUGAAAGGUUCAUACAUUUGAAAGUGAGCAUGAAUAUUUAAUCAAUUGUGUGUUCGUACAUUCUGUAAGGAUCAUGGAUGAUGAAGAAUAAAUCCAUAAAGAAUUAAAUCCAUCAGCACUUGUAGCUUUUUUGUUUGUGAUUAAAUGUUGAAAUAGAUGUGAUCCUUUUUUUUCCCAUUCCAGCAGGGUAAUUGAUGGAGGCGAAUGGGUAUGUAAGCCUAGAGGAAAUUGAGGAAUAUAACUAUGUGGCAAAUCGGACCUUUAAUACCGAGGAAGAUUUCUUCGAGUUUUUACAAUGCUUAUGCAUUCCGUAAAGGAUUUGUCAGGCAUGGAGUGACCAGAGUUUUCUGGUUUGUCAAGUGUCGUUGUGUCUGAAGUUGCAUUUUCGUUGUUUGCUCCCACAACAGUGCUUUCAUCCUAGUGGCUGCUCUCUGAUGCAGUGGUACUAUUGGAGUUCUCAUCUGCUGUAGCAGGUUGGAUAAAUAAUUCAUAAAGUAUAGAACAGACAACAGAAAACACGCAUUGAAGGGUCUAAAUCUGCUGCAGCUAUGACGCGACUUCAUCUCAGUAUUAUCUGUUUGCAGAACAAGAGGGUGUUCAAUUGAGUAUAUAUUGUCUGCUAGCAUUUUGAAACUAAAUUGUGAUGUGACGCCUCCUGAUAAAAGUAUGUCUGCAAAAUGGUGUCAAUAUGGAAGUUGGAAGUCUUGUCAGGGGUGAUUUAUAUGGACUAAUCUAUGAAGGCGCAGCUCUAGACUGGAUAGUUUCCUCAUGGUUUUGAGUGUGCAAAAAUUUUGCCAGUGCAAUACUGAAUGUAGAUAGAAUUAUACUUUCGAUGACAUUGUACUAUUUCUUAUAUUUUACCUACUAGUAAAUAAAAUGCCCUGAUUUUAGCUUGC